Molecule: ribosomal RNA, 626 nt
Filed under: uncultured fungus
Lineage: Eukaryota; Fungi
Description: eukaryotic LSU rRNA
Rfam family: Eukaryotic large subunit ribosomal RNA
Source: RNAcentral
ACCCGCUGAAUUUAAGCAUAUCAAUAAGCGGAGGAAAAGAAACCAACAGGGAUUGCCCUAGUAACGGCGAGUGAAGCGGCAACAGCUCAAAUUUGAAAUCUGGCCUUCUGGUCCGAAUUGUAAUUUGUAGAGGAUGCUUUUGGUUAGGUACCUUUCGAGUUCCUUGGAACAGGACGCCUUAGAGGGUGAGAGCCCCGUACGAUUGGAUACCGAGCCUCUGUAAAGCUCCUUCGACGAGUCGAGUAGUUUGGGAAUGCUGCUCUAAAUGGGAGGUAAAUUUCUUCUAAAGCUAAAUACCGGCCAGAGACCGAUAGCGCACAAGUAGAGUGAUCGAAAGAUGAAAAGCACUUUGAAAAGAGGGUUAAAUAGUACGUGAAAUUGUUGAAAGGGAAGGGCUUAUGACCAGACCUUUGCCUUGCGGAUCAUCCGGUGUUCUCACCGGUGCACUCCGCUUGGUUGAGGCCAGCAUCAGUUUUGGCGGCCGGAUAAAGACUUCAGGAAUGUGACUCCUCCGGGAGUGUUAUAGCCUGCUGUGUAAUACGGCCGCUGGGACUGAGGACCGCGCUUCGGCUAGGAUGCUGGCAUAAUGGUCAUCAGCCACCCGUCUUGAAACACGGACCAAGGAG